GGCUGGAGAGACGGCCCCGUGGUUCAGAGAACGGCUGCUCUCCCAGAGCCGGUGAGUUAGGUUCCCAGCACCAACGUUAUUGCCUGUAACUUCAGCUCCCCGUGAUCCAACACUGGCUCCUUGGGCACCUGCUCUUACACGCACAUAACCACCCCUCCCCAAUUAAAAAUAAUAAAAUAGGUGCUGGAGAGAUGGCUCAGCAGUUACGAGCCCUGACUACUCUUCCAGAGGACCUGAGUUCAAUUCCCAGCUCCCACAAGGCAGCUCGCAGUUGUUGGUAACUCCAGUUGCAGGGGAUCCUGUGGUCUCUCCGGACCUCUUCAAGUGUCAGCUUCCAGAGCUUGUGCCCUUGAGGUUUAGGAGAAAGCCCCAGAAGUCCGCUAGACAUUGUGCUCUGAGCCUGCUGCUGACAGCUUACGGCCACCCAUCCGCAGUACCUGCACGAAAGGACGCCCUCCCCCCAGUUCAUGGUCAGCAUUCCAGUUCUGCCAAGGAGUGAAGAAACAGAAAGGAAAUAAAAGCAGGAGCUGAGAUAUAAAGAAAAAUGAAUCUGAAUAAAGAAAGUUGGUGUUACAGGAAGAAGGGCAAGAGCGUGUUCCAGACAUGAAAAUGCCGGGCGGCUGUGCUCAGCAGCAGUGUUUGGGUGGAUGCCGUGUUACUCUUCCUCGGAGUCUGUUUUUGUUCACCUCAGUUAGGGAGGGGAAAACAGAUAAGAAAACUCUCCUCAAAGUCCACCUUCAUGAAUCAGAAGGUUAUUGGAGUUACUUACAAGAACGCAGGUGAGGGGUUCCUUUCCUGAACACGGGUGACGAGGGUAUCCACAUCACCAAAAAGCCCAGUAUGGUCAAAUCCCAGAAGCCGCCUCGAUGGAGUCCCCUGCACGUCAGACAGGCAGCCACACCAGUGAAGUCUCCUUUCCCCAGCAGCUCUUCACUGUUUACAUAAACUCAGGGGCAGGCUCUGGCGUCUGGUGAGUUUACUUAGAGUUUCCUUCGCCCCUGCAGAUCUCUUCCCACUCCUCCACAGGGAGAGGCUUCAGUCUGGUGGGAAGACCAGGCAGCAGCAGCAGUGGUACAAGGAGUUUACAGGGAAAACGAGGAGAAAGUGGGGAUCCGGGCCUCGGAUGUUAGACCCACGAACCUCUGAAUGUCGACGUCAUUUUAAGCUGUAAAAGGUGAUGCCGGAAGUCGGAAAUCAUAUGAAAAACUUCCAGAAUAUGCUGAAAUCCUAAAAACAAUGAAACAAACCCCUGGUUUUUUAGUCUGAAGAUGAUAUUGGAGACCAGACUGGGAUUAUUAAGCCGAACUCUGAGUCUCAUCACUCAGUUGGGACCUUGGCCUUUAACUGUUAAUACAAUUCUAUUUAUCACGGCUAUAACUCAUUGAAGCAGAUAGAUUUAUUUUCAUUCCAAAGGUAUUUGUUAUGUUCUUUGAAAAUGGAAGAGUCCACAUGAUCUUAAGUGACAUGUUAGCACUUUGCCCUUUAUUUGUAAUGGAAUGUGGAAGUAAAGCAUCGUAAUACGCGUGGUUCAAAGGGAGAAGAAGCAUCUUUUCAUCUGUGACUUCCUCAUUUCUCAGACCGUGACAGAAAACUCACAGCCCAUAAAACUGCAGAGAACUGGUGAUUGUGCGGUAGCCAGUCCUGACUGCACCCGGAACAAAGCUGCACCUAAGGCGCAGGGAGCACUGUGGAAGAGGCGGCGGAUGUACCGUAAGAACCAGAGGAACAGAGAGUUUACUGUAAGACUGUGUGUCCUAGACAUGCCAGAGGAGCUACACCCAUGAAGUCUCACCAACACGGCUGCACACACAAGACCUGAAGGAAGACACAAUAGACAUGCUAACCUCUAAGGACCCCAACCCAAGACAAAGAAACGUAGGCAAGUAAAGAAUCCUGAUGGAGGGAGAAGUCGUCUUCCCCGGGGAAGAGCCCCCACAUUGUUUCUCCAGUGCCAAGUGCUCAGUGCUGCAGUCACAUACCUACAAGCGGCAUUCUACGGACCGAGCAGGUUCUUCUAAAAUUUUCAAACCCCAGGUCUGGAGAGAGACUCAGUUGUCAAUAGCACCUGCAGCUCUUGCGGAGAACUUGGGGUUCAGUUCCCAUAACUCACACGGUGGAUCACAAACCAUCUGUCGCUGUAGGUCCAGGAGUCUGAUGCCCUCUACUGGCCUCUCUAAGCAUGUUCAACACUCAUA
This is a long non-coding RNA of Microtus oregoni (creeping vole), 2195 nucleotides long. RefSeq lists it as uncharacterized. Lineage: Eukaryota; Metazoa; Chordata; Mammalia; Rodentia; Cricetidae. The transcript has 4 exons. The record is from RefSeq and is a predicted model, not a curated record.